This is an RNA transcript of Beta vulgaris subsp. vulgaris (sugar beet), 502 nucleotides long. RefSeq lists it as uncharacterized. The record is from RefSeq and is a predicted model, not a curated record. The transcript has 3 exons. Lineage: Eukaryota; Viridiplantae; Streptophyta; Magnoliopsida; Caryophyllales; Amaranthaceae.
CUCAACUCUCACCUAUAUAUACAUCUGUUGAAGUGUCACUAAUUUCAAGCAAUUCGCACAAAAAACUAAAACUAAUAUCAAACAAGAUCAAGAUCAAAAAUGGAGAAGAAAUUCUUUGGGCUUUUUAUUGUGCUUCUCUUCUUAUUUGCUUCUGAGAUGAACAUGGUGGUUGAGGUUGAUGGUGCCAAUUGCGCAAAACCGAGCAAGUUUUACCGUGGUCCUUGCUUUAAUAGUAUUUCUGUAAAGCCUUGUACUCAGAGAUGUAGCCAAGAGAAUUGGCCUAUCGGAGUGUGUACCAAAGAUCUCAGAUGUGAAUGCCAAAGACCUUGUUAAACAGUGUAUGGUGGACAAGAGACGAUAAAAUGGCAUACUUGUGAUGAUGUCAUAAAUCAAUAAUUUAAUAUACUACUAUUAUUAUAUAAAAUAAAUGGCUGUCUUUCUGGUUAGCUUUUGAAAUGGCCGUUAUGUAUUAAUGUGCUCUUUUGAUCCUUGUACUUUUAAA